Molecule: ribosomal RNA, 468 nt
Filed under: uncultured bacterium
Lineage: Bacteria
Description: partial 16S ribosomal RNA
Rfam family: Bacterial small subunit ribosomal RNA
Source: RNAcentral
GACGAACGCUGGCGGCGUGCUUAACACAUGCAAGUCGAACGGAAAGGCCCUGCUUUUGUGGGGUGCUCGAGUGGCGAACGGGUGAGUAACACGUGAGUAACCUGCCCUUGACUUUGGGAUAACUUCAGGAAACUGGGGCUAAUACCGGAUAGGAGCUCCUGCUGCAUGGUGGGGGUUGGAAAGUUUCGGCGGUUGGGGAUGGACUCGCGGCUUAUCAGCUUGUUGGUGGGGUAGUGGCUUACCAAGGCUUUGACGGGUAGCCGGCCUGAGAGGGUGACCGGCCACAUUGGGACUGAGAUACGGCCCAGACUCCUACGGGAGGCAGCAGUGGGGAAUAUUGCACAAUGGGCGGAAGCCUGAUGCAGCAACGCCGCGUGCGGGAUGACGGCCUUCGGGUUGUAAACCGCUUUCGCCUGUGACGAAGCGAGAGUGACGGUAAUGUGUAAAGAAGCACCGGCUAACUACGUG